RNAcentral lists this transfer RNA (91 nucleotides) under Desulfolithobacter dissulfuricans. RNAcentral describes it as "Desulfobulbaceae bacterium GF1 tRNA-Gly". The record is from RNAcentral. Lineage: Bacteria; Pseudomonadati; Thermodesulfobacteriota; Desulfobulbia; Desulfobulbales; Desulfobulbaceae.
UCCAUGUGGUCGAGGCCUUCCGCGAUUCGGGCAACCGUCCCGAGUGGAUGAUCCUGGAGGUUAUUCCGGUGCUGCCGCCGGACCUGCGUCC